Molecule: long non-coding RNA, 2106 nt
Organism: Myotis daubentonii (Daubenton's bat)
Lineage: Eukaryota; Metazoa; Chordata; Mammalia; Chiroptera; Vespertilionidae
Exons: 3
Source: RefSeq, a predicted model, not a curated record
GGGCCGGGCUGGAGGCGCUCUCGGAGAGGCUGGGGGCCUGCGGCAGACGCCCCCUUCCCUCUCCGCCGGCCCCGGGCGCUUUAACCCUGAGGCUGCCGGCGGGCAGGAUGCGGGAAGGUCUGCGGCCCUGACAGUAUGGCCCCUGGCCCCCUGGCCCCUGCCGGGUGACCUGCCCCGAUGGCCCAGGUGGCUGCUCUGAUCAGUCUCAGCGAGGUCCCUGGGGAGAGAAGCGCCGCGCACCCACGUGCAGGCUGUGCAGUGUAAGGACACCCCGGGAUGAAGCCACUGGACACUGGACACCGGGCAGGGCGGGCAGGGGCGGGGCAGAGGAAUGCGGUGGAAUUCAGGCGGCGUCAGGAAGAGCAGGGCUGGUCUCUGGUCCCUGGAUGAACCUGAGCCCAGAGGCGCACACCCUCGCUCUGGCUCAGGCCCCGCUCCCAGGCAAAGCUCACGUCUGGUGACAGCAGUCAGGGUGGUGAUUCUGGGGGCAGGUAGCAGGGGGGGUGGGGGGGGCACAGGGAGCUUCCUGGAAUGGCAGCGUCCUGUGUGCUGGUUGGGGUGAGGCUGCUGGCCGACAGCCGGAUGGGGCUGUGCACUGAGGGGGUGGCGGCGACUGUGGGGACAUGACACCCAGGGCAGGAUGUGAAGGCACGCACAGGACACGCGUGCCGGGCACAGGGCUGGGUGGCGGUGGCAGGGGCUCAGGGAGAGGUGCGGAGGGUGAGGGUCCCGCAGCCCACAGCAUGGCCUCUAUUUGAGAAGCCAAAGCCGAAGAGGCUCGGUGAAAAGAUUCCCGGGCCUGGAGGUGCACUCUGUUCCCCUGAGUGCUUUUCCGUGUAUUUGGAACAGUUCACACUUUUUAGGAAGAAGCCGGUGGGGAGACGGGGCUGGGAGUCGGAUGGGGUGCAGCUCUGACCCUGUUUCUUGUUCGGUGCAACGCAGUCACCAAGAACUCCCUGCGGUGCAUGAGCCCCCGCCGCUCAGGUGCUCAACAAAGGGGUCUGGGUGGGGCCCCCCUUUUCCUCAGCCCCCCUGGGAGAAGGCACGACUUCCUGGGGUGGGGAGCCAGGGUGGGAAGGUCUCCACCUGCGGCUCCUUAGGCCAGUGGCCUGGCCUGGCCUGGCCGGGAAGGCUUGUGUUUCUGACAAAUGGGGCCAGCCAGCCCCAUGCCCUGCCCGUCCCGUCCCGCCUGUCCUGUCCCCGGGGCCAGGGUCACUCCAGGUGAGGCUCGGGGACAGCACACUCAGCAGGACGCAGGUCACCUGGCCUCCGAGUCCACGUGGCCCGAGCCUCAGGAGCCUCUGCAGCGGCGAGGACAGGCCUGGAUGGGGUGCCAGCCCGCGAGGCCUGCAGCCCCGCCCGCAGGGCACUGUUGGGGUGCUGGGAGCCCCGGAGGGCUGUGGGCAGCCCAGCUGGAGCCAGCAGGAAGGAAGGGAGGAGGGUCUGGGGUUAAGAAAGUGCAUUUGGGAAAGGAGAGGGAAGAAGAAAGAGAAAGCAAAAGGGGGGUCGCACCCAGGCUCUCGGGUGAAAGCCCCCGUGACCCCCGGGAAAGAAUCUUCCCAAACGCGGAGGUUAAGUGACGAGGUGACCCAGCUGCGGAAGGCAAGAGGGCAGCGAGGCUAGAGGGUCCGCAGGCACCCCGCCUGGGUGCACUCAUGCACACGAUCAGCUGGCACCCGGUGGAGCAGUCCCCUUCUGAACACUCACCUGAGGGACCCUCUUGCAGGCUCCACCCCUUGUGGCCUUCAGCCCCUGAGCUGGGGUCAGAUCCCAGCAUGCCCCAGGGCUGAAGAGCAAGGUUGACCUUGGAGGAAAUAGCUUCCACUCCAAAAGGAAGUCAAAUGCUGCCGAUUUCCAUCGGUGGGAAACCAGGUGGAUGACGCCACCGCCUUGGGCCGGAUUUACAGGAAUGAAGUCGGCGGGUCAUGCACAGAAGCAUCACUCGAACUAGGUGACAGUAAAACCCGAAGGCUGGGGACAGGACAGUGAGCUUCCAGGUUUGAAAUAUGUAACUGAGUGCAUUCAAAGAGAAAUGCGUAUGUUACUGCCUCACAGUUUGUUCUUUCAAUUUGUUGACAACCCUAAUAAAUGAUAAAGUUUCCUUUA